This 352-nucleotide ribosomal RNA is filed under the name Nannocoris nr. arimensis Bra 0990. RNAcentral describes it as "partial 16S ribosomal RNA". The record is from RNAcentral. Lineage: Eukaryota; Metazoa; Arthropoda; Insecta; Hemiptera; Schizopteridae.
UAAAUUAGUCCUGCCCAAUGAUUUAUUUGUUUAAUGGCUGCAGUAUUUUAACUGUACGAAGGUAGCAUAAUCAUUAGUUUAUUAAUUGUAAUCUUGUAUGAAUGGUUUUAUGAAAAAGUUACUUUCUUUAUUUAUUUAUUAUGAAUUUGUAUUUUUUGUAAAAAUACAAAGAUUUAUUUAUUAGACGAGAAGACCCUAUAAAACUUAAUAUGACUAUUUAUAGAUAUAUAGGUAGCUAUAUUAAAUUGGGGAGAUUAGGAAAUGUAAUUAACUUUCAAUUUUUUUAUUUCAUAAAUUAGUGUUUUGUUGAUUUAAUAUAUUAAUUAUAAGAUUAAGUUACUUUAGGGAUAAC